This 406-nucleotide ribosomal RNA is filed under the name uncultured bacterium. Its description in RNAcentral is "partial 16S ribosomal RNA". It matches the Rfam family "Bacterial small subunit ribosomal RNA", at positions 31 to 526 of the family's 1533-position model. The record is from RNAcentral.
AUGGAACGCUGGCGGCAGGCCUAACACAUGCAAGUCGAACGAGUGGCGGACGGGUGAGUAAUGCAUGGGAAACUGCCUGAGGGAGGGGGAUAACUACUGGAAACGGUAGCUAAUACCGCAUACCAUCAGAUGUGCCCAGAUGGGAUUAGCUUGUUGGUGGGGUAACGGCUCACCAAGGCGACGAUCCCUAGCUGGUCUGAGAGGAUGACCAGCCACAAUGGAACUGAGAUACGGUCCAGACUCCUACGGGAGUCAGCAGUUGGGAAUAUUGCACAUUGGGGGCAAGACUGAUGCAGUCAAGCCGCGUGUAUGAAGAAGGCUUUCGGGUUGUAAAAUACUUUCAGCGGGGAGGCGUUACGCGAAGGAGAAGCACCGGCUAACGCCGUGCCAGCAGCCGCGGUAAUAC